Long non-coding RNA from Bos taurus (domestic cattle), 1627 nucleotides. Lineage: Eukaryota; Metazoa; Chordata; Mammalia; Artiodactyla; Bovidae. The record is from Ensembl.
UGUGAAUCAAGAAUUUUAUUAAAAUCAGUCAGACCAACAGUCAAUCACAAAAGGUGUGGACAAAAUUACUGAUAUACACAAAACUGAAGGAAUAUUGUACCUUGAGUCCUUCCUGAGGAACUCAUUAGAGAACAAGUUUCAGACAACAAAAUGAAAAAAGACGUUGACAUAAGGACUGGAGGUAAGCACUAAAUGCAUAGUUACUGAACUAAUACUGAUGUUUACAGGGAGAGUGUAGUAUGCCCCCUGCUGUUGAUGUGCUCUGACAAGGCAGGAAGAGCACAGCUAUUUAAAAAAUGAGGGGAGACCCCUCAAGGAGCUGGAGCUUAGUCCCUCAUCCCUUGAAUGUGGGCUAUACUUAGGGACUUGUUUCCAAAAAGUGGCUAAUGAAAAGGAGGUGGGGCUAACUUUACAAUUACACACUACACAUAAAACAUGUGUUUGUAUACCUGUCUACUUAAAAAGUCCUAAAGACAAUCACAUACUCAAUAGCAAUAAUCACCCCACUGCCUAGAUUGUGAUGUUUAAGCACCACUUUCCAGAAACUGAAACCAGGGACUCAGAGAAAUGACCAGUUUGAGAAGCAGGAAAUAUACAAGAUGUAUUGGGAAUAUUUUGCCAUACCAGAGAGCAAAAUGAUAACAAAGAGUUAGGAGUCAACCUGAAGAUACUCCUACUGCCUGCUAACAUUAUAAAAAGAGAUAAAAUUAGGCAGUAAGUAACUCCUAUGGAGAGAAUACAACACUGCACAUAGUCCUACCAAAAUAAAAAUUCAAAUAUGAUGUGACCAAGAUUCUGGAUCCAGAAAAUAGAGAAUCAUGUCUUACUAUACUAUUAAGCAUAACUGGCAAAAAUUAGACUAUGGAAAACUAAAAAUUAAAGAAUUGAGUCCCUUAAACAAAUUGUAAGAAAAAAAGAACAGAAAGCCCAUCUAUAGAUUGAAGAUUUAAAAGGCAUUUCAAAGACAAUAAGAAUAUAAGCAAGAUAAACUGUAAUGUUUAGAUAGACAAAAUUUAUUAAAACCAUAAACAAAUGCAAAACUGUGAUUAGUAUAAAUGUCAAGAUAGAGGAGUCCAUUAAUAGCAGAGUUGAUUUACUAAGAUAAAUCACAUUCUGGGCCAUAAAACACAUGUUAGCAAAUGUAACAGAACAGAAACCAUAUAAAGAACAUUUUCAAACUACAGUAAAAUUAAAAUAGAAAUCAAUAACGGAAAGUGAAAGUCACUCAGUCAUGUCUGACUCUGUGACACCAUGGACUAUACAGUCCAUGGACUUCUCUAGGGCAGAAUACUGGAGUGGGUAGCCUUUCCCUUCUCCAGGGGAUCUUCCCAACCCAGCGAUCAAACCCAGGUCUCCCGCAUUGCAGGAUUCUUUACCAGCUGAGCCACAAGGGAAGCCCAAGAAUACUGAAAAUUCCAAAAUAUUUUGAGAUUAAACAAUGUACUUCUAAACAACACAUGGGUCAAAGAAAUUUCAAGAGAAGUUAAAUAUUUUUGAACUAAAUGAAAAUGAAAUACAAAUUUUCAAAAUUUGCAAGAUUAAAUGAAAAUGGUGUUUAGAAGGAAAUGUAUGGCUCUAAAUACAUGUAGUAAAAAAAGAAAAGAAAGAUUGAAGAUCAAUAAUCUAA